Non-coding RNA from Cajanus cajan (pigeon pea), 492 nucleotides. NCBI's taxonomy places the organism in Eukaryota, Viridiplantae, Streptophyta, Magnoliopsida, Fabales, Fabaceae. The record is from RefSeq and is a predicted model, not a curated record.
UUCCUUUCCCUCUUAAUUUCUUGGAGUAUACAGAGACUAAUUUUUAGUUUUCUUUUUCUUUUUCACAAGCAAAAAUUAAAAUUGCAAUUACGAGGCUUUUAUUUGAUAAGGAAUUCGAGUUUGGUGAAGGGCUUGUCUGGAUUUUUCUUUUUCAUAACCCUAGACGCGCAUCUUAAACCUUUCCUUGAGGCACUUCUUGCCCUUGAGAUCGACGUCAAGCGUGUAGCGUGUAGCGCCUAGCAUCUUGGGCCUUUCCAUUUGUGCUGAUGAUGGCUUUCACAACCUGAAGGAGAUUAGAAUCGUGGAAAUCGUGAAACCAGUUGGUUGGGUUUAUAUAUCGUUGGCUGGAUUCGAUCGUCGGAAAAAAUUAUUCACAGGAACUAAAGGUGGGGCACGCCAAAGCUAGGACUGGAACUCACCAAUAGUAGAGUUGCAAUUUGCAUCACUAUAGUAUGUAACCUUGCUUGGUCAUGUUGCACCAGUGCAUUGUGU